UAACAAAUUUCGUUGUAGAGGGGUCUAAAUACAGCACAAACAACAUUUUCCAAAAGACCAAAAGAGUGAAAAAAUAUAUUUUAACAAAACGCAUUUGACUAACAGGUCGAACAACUGAUGUUCUUAAACCCUGCUGACUGCCAUUGACGAUUGCCAAAUAAAUUGAUCACAAGGUGUAACUAAAUGGAUCUAUAUUAAUUUAAUACGAAUUAGAAGACAAUAAAC
This 225-nucleotide long non-coding RNA is filed under the name Mytilus galloprovincialis (Mediterranean mussel). The record is from RNAcentral. Lineage: Eukaryota; Metazoa; Mollusca; Bivalvia; Mytilida; Mytilidae.